Molecule: ribosomal RNA, 575 nt
Filed under: Lytocarpia brevirostris
Lineage: Eukaryota; Metazoa; Cnidaria; Hydrozoa; Leptothecata; Aglaopheniidae
Description: partial large subunit ribosomal RNA
Source: RNAcentral
GACCCACCUUCAAUGGCGGCUGCACCAUUAGGUUAUCUUAAUUCAACAUCGAGGUGAUAAACCUUUUCUUUGAUUAGGGCUCUUAGAAAAGAUAAUCCUGUUAUCCCUAAAGUAGCUUUUAUUUAAAGAUCAUUAUUUCUUUUUUGAGAUUAUAAUGGGUCAUUAUAUCUUACUUUGUAAUUAUUAAAUUGAUUAAUUAAAUAAUAAAUUAUUUUAUUAAUGUAGAUUAUCUCUGUUUUUUUUUAGAGACCAUCGCCCCAAUGAAACUACCAAUCUUUCUUUUGAUUUUUUAUUUUAAAAAGAUGAGAAAGAUUAUAGUUAAGCUUUAUAGGGUCUUUUCGUCUUACAAUUUUAUGUAGCAUCUUAACUACAAUUUAAAUUUCUUUUUUAUUUUAUAAGACAGAGGAAUUUUCGUUUAACCAUUCAUACUAUCCACCAAUUAAGUGGCGAGUUAUUAUGCUACAUUCAUACAGUCAUAGUUACUGCAGCCAUUUAGUUUAUGUUAUUCUUUUAAAAAAAGUAGUUAAACCAUUGGGCAGGUUGCACCUUUAAUGUUUGUAAGGGCUAUGUUUUUG